RNAcentral lists this transfer RNA (71 nucleotides) under Loxodonta africana (African savanna elephant). It matches the Rfam family "tRNA". Rfam says of the family: Transfer RNA (tRNA) molecules are approximately 80 nucleotides in length. Their secondary structure includes four short double-helical elements and three loops (D, anti-codon, and T loops). Lineage: Eukaryota; Metazoa; Chordata; Mammalia; Proboscidea; Elephantidae. The record is from Rfam by way of RNAcentral.
GGGUUGAUGGUUCAGUGGUAGAACUCUCACCUGCCAUGUAGGAGACCUGGGUUCAGUUCCCGGCCAAUGUA